This 376-nucleotide ribosomal RNA is filed under the name uncultured organism. RNAcentral describes it as "partial 16S ribosomal RNA". It matches the Rfam family "Bacterial small subunit ribosomal RNA", at positions 527 to 896 of the family's 1533-position model. The record is from RNAcentral.
GUAGGGGGCGAGCGUUGUCCGGAUUUAUUGGGGCGUAAAGAGCUCGUAGGCGGUUGCGUAAGUCGGAUGUGAAAACUCAGGGGCUCAACCCUGAGAUGCCAUUCGAUACUGCGCUGACUCGAGUCCCGGUAGGGGAGCAUGGAAUUCCUGGUGUAGCGGUGAAAUGCGCAGAUAUCAGGAGGAACACCAGUGGCGAAGGCGGUGCUCUGGGCCGGUACUGACGCUGAGGAGCGAAAGCAUGGGUAGCAGACAGGAUUAGAUACCCUGGUAGUCCAUGCCGUAAACGUUGGGCACUAGGUGUGGGGCCUACUUAACGGGUUCCGUGCCGUAGCUAACGCAUUAAGUGCCCCGCCUGGGGAGUACGGCCGCAAGGCUA